AGCAACCUGCCUUUCACAGGGGGAUAACGCAUCGAAAGAUGCGCUAAUACCGCAUGAGACCACAGCGCCACAUGGCAUAGGGGUCAAAGGAGCAAUCCGGUGAGAGAUGGGCUCGCGUCUGAUUAGCUAGUUGGUGAGGUAACGGCCACCAAGGCGACGAUCAGUAGCCGACCUGAGAGGGUGAUCGGCCACAUUGGAACUGAGAGACGGUCCAA
RNAcentral lists this ribosomal RNA (215 nucleotides) under uncultured Bacillota bacterium. RNAcentral's name for it is "uncultured Firmicutes bacterium partial 16S ribosomal RNA". It matches the Rfam family "Bacterial small subunit ribosomal RNA", at positions 120 to 334 of the family's 1533-position model. Lineage: Bacteria; Bacillati; Bacillota. The record is from RNAcentral.